This 1759-nucleotide long non-coding RNA is filed under the name Olea europaea (common olive). RNAcentral describes it as "long non-coding RNA (OEUR_LNC002054)". Lineage: Eukaryota; Viridiplantae; Streptophyta; Magnoliopsida; Lamiales; Oleaceae. The record is from RNAcentral.
CUUUUCACAGCAAUGUCUUGUCCAUCUUCCAGUGUUCCCUAAGACCAUAACUUUUGCAUUUGGAAAGGUAUUCACUUUAAUGAAAAUUGACGUAGUACAGGAUUUUAGGCUACUGCUUUCAUCUUUUACUCUAGUUUAACAUGUCUCUGAAAUUCAUGUUUUACUCUGAUAAAAUCUACUAGGCUAACAUUGAUAUCUGUGAACUUAUUCUGAGGAGACCAUCUGCAUUUCUCAUAGAGUAAAACGUAUGAAUAAUUUCCUAAAAAUAAAAAAUGAUCAGUAGUUGAAAAACAAGUGGAUUUUAUACGUGAUUCAAGUAUUUGAAGGUAUCUAGGAUUUCAUGACUUUUAGCAUUUGUUCAUCUUCUGCUCUUAUUUUCUCAACAGUCCAUGUAUAGAAUUUGCACAUUUUACCUUAUAAACAAGUCCAUAUCCACCUUGUCCAAGCUUGUUGUUGAUUGAAAAGUUGUUGGUGGCCUUUGAAAUUGUAGAUAAGUCUAACAAUGGCAGCUCAAUGUCUUUGCUACUACUUCCUGAAUCGUGAGUAAUAUAAGGAUAUAAUUCAACUGAGAGUAGUUGAGUGUUUGCACUUUGCAUGCUUAUUUAUACGUAUGGCAUGAAAUGGCAGAUGUUGCUUACCUUCUGUUUUCCCAUUUGGAUCAUUCUUCUCCCUCUUCCAAAAGUAUAGCAUCAAGCUCAGGCCUAGCAGAACAACUCCUAUCAAUGAUGUCAAACUCGAUAUCAAUAUUUUUCUUCUCUUUCCUUUCGAAUCUACAGCAAGUUUGCUGAUAUUCUUACCCAACUCGGAAGGAGCCAUUCUAAUAUAAAUAUCUUGUCCAUCAACAGGUAGAUCUCUCAUGUCAAUCAAGUCUCCAUACCAAAACAAGCACCCACCUCUCUCUGUGCUAAUAUCUUAUUGUGUGUAUGCCAUACAAGAGCAAUUCUUUAAACACACCACCUCGCAUUCUUUGAGCAUCAUGCUCUUGUUAAACCCGGAAUAUCUCGAGUCUGGCAAUUUAAUUCCAGAAUACUUCAAAAAUACAUCACUCUUGCAAUUCAAGGGGGUCCUACGAAUGCACCCAUUUGACCAAUUUUCGACAAUCCAACCUUUUGGAUCUUUUGGCACAAAACUACUGAGACAUGCACAUGCUGGAGAUUUUGUUACAUUGCAACUACUAUAAGCACCACAAAAUUUGUAAGUAUCACAAAUAUCCACUGGUAAAAUCUGGAAAUUGACCCAUUCCCUGGUUCCAACAACCCAUCUCCAGCGUUGCAUGACACCAUUCUGACUCAAUGUAAUUCUCGAAAUAACUAAUCGGUCAAGGACAUCUUCCCUGUAGUAUGUCUUGUUCUUGUUCAUUAUUAUCAAUCCAUACAAGGAUCUUUUACCUCUCACACCUGUUGCUCCACUAAAGCGUACACCGUUCCAAUUUCCUAUUCUACAUGUAGUAGUAUUACCUCUUUUUAUGAAUAUUUGUGGAUAUCCAGUUGGAUCCAAGUGAAGUGUGAAGUUUCCGGGAGCUGGGUCCUCACCGCUCUUCCAUGAUGACAGGUAGCUUUCUAUACCCGUUGCAUAGUUCCAGCCACAAUUCAUGUUUGGUAGAAAUGUAUUGCUCAAAUAAUCGAAACUCUGCCAAAGAAAAUUCUCUUGAUCAUUGUCAUUUACUUCUCUUAGGACAAGAUUUCCAGAGUCCAACAACUGCACAAUUGGAGUUUGAGCAACUCUUGUCAUUCUCGAAGACCAUAUGAUGUUAUUAGUG